UGGAGGUUCUUAAUUUUCACUAGCCGUCUUCAUGUGCCAUCUCAGUCAGAAGAUGUGGGAACAUUGAAUUGUGAGUAGACUCACUGUAGCACUCUCCACCAGUGACCGACUCCAUAGCCACCACAUAGGAUUAAGAGAGGACAACAGUAAUCAGAGAAUGACUUAUCCAACAAAGAAUUACGUCUUUGGCUUCCAAACCAGUGCAAUGCUCAUUUCCAACAAUCUUCUUAUUCUCAAGGAGGAGGACAAUUACCAGGCUACUUAAGUCAUUCUGGAGGCAGUCACAAUCUUUUUUACUACACCUGUGG
This is a long non-coding RNA of Mus musculus (house mouse), 308 nucleotides long. RefSeq annotates it as predicted gene, 39806. NCBI's taxonomy places the organism in Eukaryota, Metazoa, Chordata, Mammalia, Rodentia, Muridae. The transcript has 3 exons. The record is from RefSeq and is a predicted model, not a curated record.